UCGGCAGAGCAGGCACAGCGGCGUGA
This 26-nucleotide non-coding RNA is filed under the name Homo sapiens (human). The record is from RNAcentral. Lineage: Eukaryota; Metazoa; Chordata; Mammalia; Primates; Hominidae.